GGUCCUAGCUCAGUGGUAGAGAACCUGCUUUGCCUUCAGGAGGCUCCAGGUUCAAUUCCUGGCAUCUCCA
This is a non-coding RNA of Podarcis lilfordi (Lilford's wall lizard), 70 nucleotides long. The record is from the annotation of a GenBank genome assembly. Lineage: Eukaryota; Metazoa; Chordata; Lepidosauria; Squamata; Lacertidae.